This 200-nucleotide long non-coding RNA is filed under the name Sinocyclocheilus grahami. RNAcentral's name for it is "lncRNA (ENSSGRG00000023606.1)". Lineage: Eukaryota; Metazoa; Chordata; Actinopteri; Cypriniformes; Cyprinidae. The record is from RNAcentral.
GAGGAUUUUUGACAGUGUACAGAGUAUUGCUUCAGACUCCUUUCAGCUGUCUGUCUCCUUAUUCGUAAACACACACGAACAGUCCCACAGCAGAUCUAAUGUGGACUUUCACAGAAGAUGUGGGUGUUUUGAAGGCAGGGUCUUCCCUGGUUGGUUGUGAAGAUCUAAGUAAACAAAGCUUGUUACUGUGGCAUAACUGA